Molecule: ribosomal RNA, 253 nt
Filed under: uncultured bacterium
Lineage: Bacteria
Description: partial 16S ribosomal RNA
Rfam family: Bacterial small subunit ribosomal RNA
Source: RNAcentral
UACGAAGGGGGCUAGCGUUGCUCGGAAUCACUGGGCGUAAAGCGCACGUAGGCGGAUUGCUAAGUCAGGGGUGAAAUCCUGGAGCUCAACUCCAGAACUGCCUUUGAUACUGGCGAUCUUGAGUCCGGGAGAGGUGAGUGGAACUGCGAGUGUAGAGGUGAAAUUCGUAGAUAUCGGGAGGAACACCGGUGGCGAAGGCGGCGACCUGGGUCGAUACUGACGCUGAGGUGCGAAAGCGUGGGGAGCAAACAGG